This 597-nucleotide ribosomal RNA is filed under the name Globigerinoides ruber albus. RNAcentral's name for it is "partial small subunit ribosomal RNA". It matches the Rfam family "Eukaryotic small subunit ribosomal RNA", at positions 1294 to 1605 of the family's 1831-position model. Lineage: Eukaryota; Foraminifera; Rotaliida; Globigerinidae. The record is from RNAcentral.
UUAGUUCGUGGAGUGAUCUGUCUGCUUAAUUGCGUUUCAAAAUUUAACUUGAGGACCGGGUUUUGGUUUGGCUAGUGGUUCUACGAUGACUGUGAACUGUCAUGUCUUCGGAUGUGCGACUAUUGGUCUAGGAUCACAUGACUUGCCCCUGGGACUCUUUUGAACGCAACGGACGUGAUUGCAACCCCUUGUUGAGAUUAGAGAUAGUCUCGAUAUUCACUGGACAAACUGGCUGCUUUAUGCAGUCUUGUUGAAUGGUGGAUAAACUCGGGGGACUGCUGACUAUAACCAUUUCUCAAAACAGAGGAAGGUUGCGGCAAUAACAGGUCUGUGAUGCCCUCAGAUGUCCCGGGCUGCACACGUGCUACAAUGAGUGGCGCAAUGUGCUAAUGUUUAAGGGAUAAGAGUGUGGUCAGUAGAACGUCGGGAUUUCCCCUGACGUCUCCCCCGCACGAUUAUCAGCCUUCCCUUAACAGGGCGGGCAACCUUUUCAAAAUACUGGUUUGAUGUUAAAGUAUUGAGUCGUUUUUUUUGGAUGGUGGUUUGUUAACCAAUACCAUCCGGCAACUGCUCGCGAGUUUGUGGUUCUGGCGACUC